RNAcentral lists this ribosomal RNA (449 nucleotides) under uncultured bacterium. RNAcentral describes it as "partial 16S ribosomal RNA". It matches the Rfam family "Bacterial small subunit ribosomal RNA", at positions 29 to 523 of the family's 1533-position model. The record is from RNAcentral.
AAUGAACGCUGGCGGCAGGCCUAACACAUGCAAGUCGAACGGAUCCUUCGGGAUUAGUGGCGGACGGGUGAGUAACGCGUGGGAAUAUACCCAAAGGAACGGAAUAGCCUCGGGAAACUGGGAGUAAUACCGUAUGUGCUCGAAAGAGGAAAGAUUUAUCGCCUUUGGAUUGGCCCGCGUUGAACUAGUUAGUUGGUGGGGUAAUGGCCUACCAAGCCGACGAUCCAUAGCUGGUUUGAGAGGAUGAUCAGCCACACUGGGACUGAGACACGGCCCAGACUCCUACGGGAGGCAGCAGUGGGGAAUCUUAGACAAUGGGGGAAACCCUGAUCUAGCCAUGCCGCGUGAUCGAUGAAGGCCUUAGGGUUGUAAAGAUCUUUCAGGUGGGAAGAUAAUGACUGUACCACCAGAAGAAGCCCCGGCUAACUCCGUGCCAGCAGCCGCCGUAA